Cubamyces lactineus is the source of this 102-nucleotide non-coding RNA. The record is from the annotation of a GenBank genome assembly. Lineage: Eukaryota; Fungi; Basidiomycota; Agaricomycetes; Polyporales; Polyporaceae.
UCCCGUUUAGCUCAGUUGGUAGAGCGCGUCACUAGUAUCUGACUUCACUCAGCGUGCGUCAGGGCAAUGACGAGGUCAGUCGUUCGAGUCGGCUAAUGGGAA